CGUUUGCAAAUAACAUGGCGUGGUGGCGGUUACACUAACAUCAAAGGCACCACCGACACGAAGUCGGACUUCUGUAAAUGUUUAUUCUGUGGUAUUGAAGUGUUUUCUUGAAACGUUGGAUAGGAUAAACUUGCGGUUCACCGGUUGCGAUAAUGUACUAUAUUAAAAUAUUAUCAUUACCAAAUGUUGUCAUUAGUAAUUUAUAAUUCUGCGUCAAUAUUUAUUUUCAUACAUGCAAUUCCCUUUAACUUUUAAACAAAUUGUUACCUUCCCAGUUAAGUGAUAUUGGUGUUCAGAAGGAUGAGGUAACUUUACGAUAUACCGCAUUUCAACACCGUCACUUGCAAUAGUGUUUUCCUUCAAUUUUUCGUGCAAUUGUUUUGCAAUUCUUCUUCUGAAGAAUAUACUGUCUUUUUCAAUCUAAAGAAUAGUGUAUACGUCAUGUUUGCGGGUUUUUAUGUAUGUUAGAAAAAGACUUAUUUUAUCGUUUGUUUACAACAUUUAAAGACCUUCAUUUGCGGAAAUUUUGCAAUUUGUGUGAUGAAAAUUGUAGCUGGGCAUUCUUUCUUUUUAGAUGUCUGACCAAAAGAUCUUCUCUGGGUAUGAUAACAAUGGUCGGCACCCUGUAAAAUGAAAAGUAAAAUCCGCUUAUUUGUAGAAAGCUGUGUAUGCCUAUUAGUAUUUGCUAAAUGUCUUGUUACCUGACUGCUGCGAAUCUUCUCCUUAUUUUUUUGUUUUGCUUUUUCAUUUUUGUCUUUCCCUUGGUGACACCACAAGACUUUCUCUCCAACAUGCACGAAUGGUAUUCCGGCGUAUGCAAUACUUGGCCCUUGGUUACCAUCCUUUCUCUCCCAGAAAACCUUAAGUUUGUCUUUUCUAACUUCUAAAAAUCAAUUAAACAAUAAAAAAGUCGAAUUCUGUAAAAGCGUAAUAUUAUUUAUUAUCAGUAUAUUCUGCAUACAUUUUUGUUAGUAGAAAAGAAAUUUGUAGUCAUAAAAGUAUUAAUAAAUUUGUUAUUUUUGCUGUGUCCAGAGUCUGUGUCAGAGGGGGGGGGGGGUGAACUUAAAAGUUUGGGCCCUCUUCCUUUUGACCCCCCCGGUACGCAAAAAAAUUUCCGGAAAAAGGUGAGGAGGGGGAAAUAUACGUUUUCCUGAAAAUAAAAGGUCCAAAAAAAUUUUUCGCAAACCUGUUUUGGAUAAGGGGGGGAAUACGUUUUUCAGAAUUUUUCGACCUUAAUUUUUCACAAUAUUCCUAAAUGUUUAACACGUUCCGCAAUUCCAGCAUUUCGGGCCCCCCUCUUGGGAAAUUGGGCCCCUUCCAAAUUGCCCCCCCCCCCUUGGUAUUUAUAUAAGCCCCCUGAUCUAAUUUUUACGCCCUGAUAAUUUUAAGAUUUUUAGAAGUUGCACGGAUACUGCACCUCAGUCGCCUCUCAGAGGUGUUGUGUACAUGUCUUCGUUGCAGGUGAUGUGCAAAACCUAUUGCUUUAUGCGCUAAUGACAUACUUCUUAAUAUAUACUAUACGUUAACAGUAAUACUUGCCAUUUGAUCCAAAGCUCUUGUCACCGUAGUAAACAACGAAUUUGCUGCUCGUCUCCGUCUCGUAUUCUUUAAUCAGAGCUUUUACAUCGGACUCGCUUUGUACUACGGCCACCUUUUGGUCGCCAACAUAGCUCGAAUUUAUAUUCGCCGACAUGCUUCGGAUGACAAAGAAAAAUUAACGUAUAACUGUAUAAUUUCAAUUAAAGUAACAAGACCUGUUAUCAAUUUGUAUACCUCGGAACGUUUCGCGCCAAUUGAAUUUCCC
Molecule: non-coding RNA, 1804 nt
Organism: Paramuricea clavata
Lineage: Eukaryota; Metazoa; Cnidaria; Anthozoa; Malacalcyonacea; Plexauridae
Source: the annotation of a GenBank genome assembly